RNAcentral lists this ribosomal RNA (504 nucleotides) under uncultured bacterium. RNAcentral describes it as "partial 16S ribosomal RNA". It matches the Rfam family "Bacterial small subunit ribosomal RNA", at positions 28 to 507 of the family's 1533-position model. The record is from RNAcentral.
GACGAACGCUGGCGGCGUGCUUAACACAUGCAAGUCGAACGGUGAAGCGCUUGCCUUUUUGGUGGGUGUGGAUGAGUGGCGCACGGGUGAGUAACACGUGAGUAACCUGCCCUCUUCUUCUGGAUAACCUCAUGAAAGUGGGGCUAAUACGGGGUAUUCCGGGUCUGUCGCAUGGCGGGUUUGGGAAAGAUUGCGCCUUUGGGUGUUUUCGGUGGGGGAUGGGCUCGCGGCCUAUCAGCUUGUUGGUGGGGUGAUGGCCUACCAAGGCGGUGACGGGUAGCCGGCCUGAGAGGGUGGACGGCCACACUGGGACUGAGACACGGCCCAGACUCCUGCGGGAGGCAGCAGUGGGGAAUAUUGCACAAUGGGCGCAAGCCUGAUGCAGCGACGCCGCGUGAGGGAUGGAGGCCUUCGGGUUGUGAACCUCUUUCGCCAGUGAAGCAGGCCUGCUCCUGUGUGGGUGGGUUGACGGUAGCUGGAUAAGAAGCGCCGGCUAACUACGUG